RNAcentral lists this transfer RNA (70 nucleotides) under Cochlostyla marinduquensis. RNAcentral describes it as "tRNA-Glu". The record is from RNAcentral. Lineage: Eukaryota; Metazoa; Mollusca; Gastropoda; Stylommatophora; Camaenidae.
GUUUUAAUAGUAUAUAUAUUACAUUAUCUUUUCGUGAUAAAAAAGGAAGGACAAAUUCCUCCUUAAAAUU